AGCGAACGUUAGCGGCGGGCCUAACACAUGCAAGUCGAACGCGAAAGGUCUUCGGACUGAGUAGAGUGGCGCACGGGUGAGUAACACGUAGGUAAUCUACCCUUUGGCGGGGGAUAACGUUCCGAAAGGAGCGCUAAUACCGCAUAAGACCACGGAGUCUCCGGACGCUGUGGGAAAAGGUGGCCUCUUCUUGAAAGCUACCACCGAAGGAUGAGCCUGCGUCCCAUCAGCUAGUUGGUAAGGUAAUGGCUUACCAAGGCGAAGACGGGUAGCUGGUUUGAGAGAAUGAUCAGCCACACUGGCACUGGAACACGGGCCAGACUCCUACGGGAGGCAGCAGUGAGGAAUAUUGGGCAAUGGGCGAAAGCCUGACCCAGCCACGCCGCGUGAGUGAUGAAGGCCCUCGGGUCGUAAAGCUCUGUGGAGAGGGACGAAAACCCUGGUUUCAAAUAGGCUCCAGGCUUGACGGUACCUCUUUAGCAAGCACCGGCUAACUCUGUGCCAG
Molecule: ribosomal RNA, 505 nt
Filed under: uncultured bacterium
Lineage: Bacteria
Description: bacterial SSU rRNA
Rfam family: Bacterial small subunit ribosomal RNA
Source: RNAcentral